Molecule: unclassified non-coding RNA, 382 nt
Filed under: uncultured bacterium
Lineage: Bacteria
Description: contains 16S-23S intergenic spacer region
Source: RNAcentral
UCCAGUUUAUCACCAGCGGUUCCAUUAGAGUGCUCAGCCGAACUGUAGCAACUAACGGUAAGGGUUGCGCUCGUUGCGGGACUUAACCCAACAUCUCACGACACGAGCUGACGACAGCCAUGCAGCACCUUGCUUCAGGUCUGAGUUUUACCCCAGAAAAGCAUGUUUUGCACGCUUGUCCUUCGCAUUCUAGCCCAGGUAAGGUUCUUCGCGUUGCGUCGAAUUAAACCACAUGCUCCACCGCUUGUGCGGGUCCCCGUCAAUUCCUUUGAGUUUUAAUCUUGCGACCGUACUCCCCAGGCGGUCAACUUCACGCGUUAGCUUCGUUACCAAGAAAUUGCUUCCCCGACAACUAGUUGACAUAGUUUAGGGCGUGGACUAC